RNAcentral lists this long non-coding RNA (2799 nucleotides) under Capsicum annuum. RNAcentral's name for it is "long non-coding RNA (CANN_LNC012467)". Lineage: Eukaryota; Viridiplantae; Streptophyta; Magnoliopsida; Solanales; Solanaceae. The record is from RNAcentral.
UCUCGCGCAUCUCAUAUCCUAAAAAAUCAGCGUGCAUUCUCAAUCCCAUCUUUCCCAAACCUUGCAACAAUGGCCUCCCCUUUUCUCCUCCUUCCUCUUUGUUUUCUAUCUCUUUCCCCCAAAUCAGAAUGGCUGACAACCAUUGUUGCAGGUAGCCUAGCACCUCACCUGCAUGAGAAUACCACAAAAAUAGACCCUCCAGCCUAUGAAUCCUUCAAGAACAGAGAAAAAAAUCCCCUAAUCUGUAUAACAAUGGAAAAAAGAGUCAAAACUGCCAUUAAUGGCCUGGUAAAGCAAGAGAUUUAUUUUAGAAUUUUGAAUCAAUUUCAAACCAAGUUUUUUUCAUCACGUUUUGUUUAAAUCAAGUUUGGAAUCCAUAUUUUCAAGUACGAAUUUGCCUAUAAAUAUGGGUCUUUCAUUGGUAUGGAGAUGACAAGGAAAAUUUGGAUAAAAUAGCAGUGAAAAGGGUCUUGAAUUUUUUUUUCAAAAUCAAAGGGAAAAUUUGAAAAAGAGUAUUUUGAGAUAAAGGGGUUUGAAAUUGGAGAGGAUUUGGAUGAAAAAUAAUGAGGAAAAUAAAAAAAAUGAAAGAGAGAGUAGCUUAUACUUGGAAAAUAUCAAGAAAAAUUAGGUCUUGAAAUAGUUGGCUUCUUUAUUGUUUUCAUGUUAAAAUCAGUGUCUCCGGUUGAGUUUAAGGUCCCCAAAAAAUUUAACGUCAUUCCUCGUUUGCUGCGCCAACAAAGGUGCGAACUUUCCCUUUCCGUCCCAUUUUCUUUUCAUCUCAUUUUUUAAUUUUUUUUGGAUAUGCUUUUUAAGUUUAUUGUAGUUCUCGACUCUACAAGCAAAUAUUUUGUAUAUGUUUGAUACUAUACCUGUGAGCGCACAUAAUUGGAGUGACAAAAUACAUGACAAUAACUUGAUCUGAAUCUUUGAUUUUGGCAUUUUGUGGCUGUUUCGGUAAUAUGGAUGAGAGUUUGGCUAUUUUGGAUCUCUUUUUUUUUAAAAAAAAAAAGAAAAAUUAAUUUUAUAAUUCGGAUAUUAUUUCACUUCAAGUUGGGUGGUACUAUUAUUAUUCGUUCCUCUGAAAAUUGUAUAUAAAAUAGGAUUUUAUUUUAAAUUUUUUUGUUGUUUUUUUAUCACCUCUACAGAUAAAAUAUAUAUACAUAUAUUUUUAAUUCUGAAAAAAAAAGAUUCGUAUAUAAUUUCCAGUCAAGCUUAUGUUGUUGAUUGAUUCCGAAAGAUUGGGUUUGUAUAUGAAUUUAUAUGUAGUUUUAAGUUAUCAUUGUUUAUUCUAAAAUGGGUUUGUAGUUAUAUUUCAGUCAAGUCUAGGAGUUGUUUACUGAUUCCAAAAAAUGGGGCUCGUAUGUGAAUUUUCAUUAAAUGCACACAAAUUUGUGAUGUUGCCAAAUGAGUUUUUUCCCAUAGGUGGUCUAUUUUUGUAUGUGAAAAUAUUCUAGUCAUUAAUCCUAAUAAAAGGGAUUUUGUUAAUGUGGUUUAGAAGUUGUAGCUUGUUUUAAUAUAUUAACGGUGUGUAUUUAUUGAUUUAUUUUAAUAUAUUAGUAGUGUGAAUUCACUUAGUGGAAUUGCCUUCUGUUAUCCUAAGGGAUUAUGUGAUGACUUUCGAUUUUGCUAAGUUAAAAAUUAUUAUAACCUUUGAAGGAUUGUAGAAUGUUCAGAAAAUGAGUUUAGGUUGAUAGAAAUAUCGAAAAUUGCGAUUAUGAAAUACUCCCAUAAACGAUUCUUUAGUUAUGGCCCGUUGUUAUGUUAGUGGAUACAAGUUUGACGAUUCCAAUAGGUACGGAAUGUGAUUUAUCACUUAGUUGGAAAGUUUAUACAGUUUGGUAGUUUUUUGGAACAAUAUACGACUAUGCAUAUAGUUGUUAUCUGUGUCACAUUCUAUAUGCUUUCUUUAUAAAUGGGCAUUAGUACAUAGUGUAUGGCUAGCAUAAUCCCCAAUUAUUCUAUUGUGUUCGUUUCAUUCUGACCCAUGUUUGAGAUUUCUAACGGAUAAUUUAAAUGGUCGACAAGAUUAUUAUUUUUUAGGACAAACUCUGCAUUCUUGUUUCAACUAUAGCAUUUGAAUAUUCUGUAUACAAUAUGAUGUUGAAUAAUGGUAAAAGGUUUGGGUUCACAACAUAGAAACCAACAUUGAUAGCAAAUUAAAAAGGUUCUUGAAAUUAUGUUUUUACAUCAGCGCAUCUAGUUUUGUUCUUAAAAGGAGCCAUGAGAUCAAUAUGCCUUUGUCUUCUUUUAAAUACAAGUUGAUUGAAAUUGGAGCAGAAAACAACAAUUUCACUUCAAUUUGGUCUGUAACGUUACAUUUGGAUUGUGCUUUAAUGCCAAUUAAGUUGGAGAGUUGUUUUCUAGUUUAUGCAAAUGAUUCUAUUUUCUCUGUUGAAACUAUGCAUGAUGUUUGACAUAUUUUUCUAAUGCUAAUCAUUAAUUCAUGUGUAUCUUCUAAUUAUUUGAUCAGUUAUUAAUCCUUGUUCUCUCUUUUGUUUACAUGUAACUCAGGAGUUGGAGUUUGAAUCGAAACUCCAUUCUUUUACCCAAGCAUCGGAUCGAUCGCUACUAGGAUUACACGAGCCUUGGAGUCCCGCAAAUUAGGAGCCUAAUUUCCUAAACCAAAUUUAUUAUCCUCUAUUGCCUUUCAAUUUAAUUUAUAUUUUAUGUUGAAUUUUAUUUUAAUUACUAAAUUUUGUUUGUUAAGUUUAUUUACGAUAGCUUUAUUUUAUUAUCGAAUCCAUGUUGUUUUGUUAUUCAUUGGUUCUCUUAGAGGUAGCUUUAGCGUAUGGAUUUUCG